AGAAAAAAGGGAUAAAAGAGGAAGGAAGCAGAGGAAAAAAAAGAAGGAACAAAAGAGAGACAGGCGACUCCCAGGAGCAGAGGCCAUGCUUACAGAGAGAAGGGUGGAGGUAUGUGGGGGAAGGGGAAAGCCGGCUGGCUGACACAGCGCUAAGGAGGAAGACUCGAGGCUUCUGCGCAGGGAAAGCCGAUGUUGCCACCGCAGGCCUGGCACGACCAGGGCCUUGAUGCCCCGCCCGGCCCGGCCCCCGCGCGCACAGGUACCUGGAGACGAUUUCAACUGAAGUAAUGAAGGCAGUGUCGUGCUGUCGAGAGAAAGGUGGAUCCCAACAACAGGAAACUACCUAAAUCACCGACCAGUUCUGGUGCUGCCCGCGCGGUGCUGCCUCGCCCGCCGCCGCCGCCGCCGCCGCCACUGCCGCCGCCGCCGCCAAGGAGAGAACCCUGCGAUCGCGCCCGGCCCAGCCCCUCGGCGACCUGUGCCCGCCGCCGCAACUGAUACCCUAGGCUGCCACAAAUGCGUCACCGAGGGAGAAGCCACCGGCCCCAGUAAGACAAAGUCAAGCCCUUUUGCCAACCUGCAUACCAUGCCUGUCAGCCCUUCUCUUGGCCAAGGAAGAAAGGAAGAGAGAAAAAAAAGACACCGAGGGGCCUGUAUCCCCUGAUUAAACACAGCCCAGCACUCCAGGCUGGCGUGCCCAGUGGCGGCUCCUUGCACCAUUGACCUCAGGCCAGACACCUCAGCGCCGACAAUGGAACCUCGGCUUUCCGGCUAGGUUUACCCCUGGCUGGGCAGGAAACCAGCUCGGCGGAGAACAGGGGCCAUUUCAAGCCGUGGGACCCCAAAACAGCAAACCCAGCCCAGUGACGACUUGACACUUAGGACAAUAUCUAUCUCUAUAGAAUUUUACCAUGAUAUGGCUUUUUCCCCCAGAAAACAACAAAUAAACCAGCACCAAGCAAACAAAGAAACAAAAAGUCAGAACAAACCAGCCCUGCACAGAUGUAAUGGCCCAGGAGAUGGCGAGUGUGGGAGGGAGGAAUAGGGCUCCGGCACAGGUGCGAGUUUCUGGGCAGAGGCUGAAGACAGAGGGAGGGAACCAGCGCUCUGGAAGCAAAAAAAUAAAAAUAAAAAUAAAAGGCGUCGCCCGGAGCUUCAUCAGGAAAAAUUAAAGU
Molecule: long non-coding RNA, 1175 nt
Organism: Propithecus coquereli (Coquerel's sifaka)
Lineage: Eukaryota; Metazoa; Chordata; Mammalia; Primates; Indriidae
Exons: 3
Source: RefSeq, a predicted model, not a curated record